This 231-nucleotide ribosomal RNA is filed under the name uncultured bacterium. RNAcentral's name for it is "partial 16S ribosomal RNA". It matches the Rfam family "Bacterial small subunit ribosomal RNA", at positions 99 to 334 of the family's 1533-position model. The record is from RNAcentral.
CGGGCGGGUGAGUAAUGUCUGGGAAACUGCCUGAUGGAGGGGGAUAACUACUGGAAACGGUAGCUAAUACCGCAUAACGUCGCAAGACCAAAGAGGGGACCUUCGGGCCUCUUGCCAUCGGAUGUGCCCAGAUGGGAUUAGCUAGUAGGUGGGGUAACGGCUCACCUAGGCGACGAUCCCUAGCUGGUCUGAGAGGAUGACCAGCCACACUGGAACUGAGACACGGUCCAG